GAUGAACGCUGGCGGCGUGCCUAAUACAUGCAAGUCGAGCGAACGGACGAGAAGCUUGCUUCUCUGAUGUUAGCGGCGGACGGGUGAGUAACACGUGGAUAACCUACCUAUAAGACUGGGAUAACUUCGGGAAACCGGAGCUAAUACCGGAUAAUAUUUUGAACCGCAUGGUUCAAAAGUGAAAGACGGUCUUGCUGUCACUUAUAGAUGGAUCCGCGCUGCAUUAGCUAGUUGGUAAGGUAACGGCUUACCAAGGCAACGAUGCAUAGCCGACCUGAGAGGGUGAUCGGCCACACUGGAACUGAGACACGGUCCAGACUCCUACGGGAGGCAGCAGUAGGGAAUCUUCCGCAAUGGGCGAAAGCCUGACGGAGCAACGCCGCGUGAGUGAUGAAGGUCUUCGGAUCGUAAAACUCUGUUAUUAGGGAAGAACAUAUGUGUAAGUAACUGUGCACAUCUUGACGGUACCUAAUCAGAAAGCCACGGCUAACUACGUGCCAGCAGCCGCGGUAAUACGUAGGUGGCAAGCGUUAUCCGGAAUUAUUGGGCGUAAAGCGCGCGUAGGCGGUUUUUUAAGUCUGAUGUGAAAGCCCACGGCUCAACCGUGGAGGGUCAUUGGAAACUGGAAAACUUGAGUGCAGAAGAGGAAAGUGGAAUUCCAUGUGUAGCGGUGAAAUGCGCAGAGAUAUGGAGGAACACCAGUGGCGAAGGCGACUUUCUGGUCUGUAACUGACGCUGAUGUGCGAAAGCGUGGGGAUCAAACAGGAUUAGAUACCCUGGUAGUCCACGCCGUAAACGAUGAGUGCUAAGUGUUAGGGGGUUUCCGCCCCUUAGUGCUGCAGCUAACGCAUUAAGCACUCCGCCUGGGGAGUACGACCGCAAGGUUGAAACUCAAAGGAAUUGACGGGGACCCGCACAAGCGGUGGAGCAUGUGGUUUAAUUCGAAGCAACGCGAAGAACCUUACCAAAUCUUGACAUCCUUUGACAACUCUAGAGAUAGAGCCUUCCCCUUCGGGGGACAAAGUGACAGGUGGUGCAUGGUUGUCGUCAGCUCGUGUCGUGAGAUGUUGGGUUAAGUCCCGCAACGAGCGCAACCCUUAAGCUUAGUUGCCAUCAUUAAGUUGGGCACUCUAAGUUGACUGCCGGUGACAAACCGGAGGAAGGUGGGGAUGACGUCAAAUCAUCAUGCCCCUUAUGAUUUGGGCUACACACGUGCUACAAUGGACAAUACAAAGGGCAGCGAAACCGCGAGGUCAAGCAAAUCCCAUAAAGUUGUUCUCAGUUCGGAUUGUAGUCUGCAACUCGACUACAUGAAGCUGGAAUCGCUAGUAAUCGUAGAUCAGCAUGCCACGGUGAAUACGUUCCCGGGUCU
RNAcentral lists this ribosomal RNA (1372 nucleotides) under uncultured bacterium. Its description in RNAcentral is "bacterial SSU rRNA". It matches the Rfam family "Bacterial small subunit ribosomal RNA", at positions 28 to 1381 of the family's 1533-position model. The record is from RNAcentral.